GGAGCUAGCCGAAUCCACACAAGAAUCGCAAUCCCCACCUCCUCCUGAGAGCAGAUAGAUACCUCUCCCUGUCCGUGUCUCCUCUCCAGGUCCAGGACAGGAUUAAUCAAUGAAUCAAUCAGCUGCAGGCCUGCGCCUGAUUUCCCAUUAUACUAAUGCUAUUAGCGGCAAGGCAACCGUUUGGUUUGGGGCCUCUUCCCUCCCUCCGAAGCUAGCUUAGCUUAAACAGAACAGGACGGCUUGCCAUUUGUCCCUCUCUGGGCUUGGAGCUUUCCUUCUUCUUCCGGCGCUAGCUGCUCUUGAUUUGCUUUGCUUUGCUGGGGGAGAGAGAGCGCUCUCCAGAUCGAGCAACAACCCACGACUCCUCAGGUUGCGGUUCCACGACGGACGAGCAAAAAAAAUAAAAUAAAAACUGGUGACCUGAGUAGGGUUUAUCCGCUCCAAAUUGCGGCGGCGGAGGGUCGUCCAGGGGAGAGAUGAAAUCCUCCGCCAAUUUCCUGUCGAUCCUGGUGCUGCUGGUGUUCCUGGCCGCGGAGAAUGCGCGGGCGCAGCCCCAGCCGAUCCUCAUAAACUGCGGCUCGGAUUCCACCACCAGCGUCGAUGCCAGGACAUGGAUUGGGGAUUCUUCCCCUUCCAACAACUUCACGCUCAGCUUCCCCGGGGCCAUCGCCUCGGCGGCUCCGGCUCCGGCUCCGGGAGUUGAUGGAGAACAAGACCCGUACGGAGAUUUGUACAAGACCGCCCGUGUCUUCAACGCCUCCUCCAGCUACAGGCUCGCCGUCGCCCCCGGGAGCUACUUCCUCCGCCUCCAUUUCAGCCAGCAGUUCGCCAAUCUCGGCGCCCAGGAGCCCAUCUUCAGUGUCGCGGCAAAUGGCCUGAGGCUGCUCUCCAAGUUCAGCGUCCACGGAGAGAUUUCUUGGAGGGAUUCUCAGAUCAACUCAACGAGCAGCGUCAUCGUCAAGGAGUACCUUCUCAAUGUCACUUCUGGUAAACUGGGCAUUGAGUUCACCCCCGAUGAAGGGUCCUUCGCCUUCAUCAAUGCCAUGGAGGUUCUACCUGUGUCUGGCACCUCAAUUUUUGAUUCAGUCAACAAGGUGGAUGCUCAUGGGUUGAAAGGCCCUUUUAGCCUCGACGGCGACGGGAUCGAGACCAUGUACAGGCUGUGUGUGGGAUGCAUCGAUGUACUGCCGAGGAAAGAGGAUCCAGGAUUGUGGAGGAGGUGGGAUAAAGAUGAGCAUUUCAUAUUCUCUCUCAACGCCGCGAAUUCCAUCUUCAACUCUUCCAACAUAAGUUAUGUGUCUGCUGAUGAUCCCACAGUAGCCCCUUUGAGGCUCUAUCAGAGUGCAAGGGUGCCAACAGAGAGUUCGGUCUUGGGAAAGAAGUUCAAUGUCUCAUGGAGCUUUAACAUUGACCCUGGCUUUGAUUACUUGGUCCGGCUGCAUUUCUGCGAGCUGCAGUAUGACAAGGCUGAGCAACGCAAGUUCAAGAUUUACAUAAACAACAAGACCGCUGCAGAGAGCUAUGAUGUGUUUGCCAGAGCUGGGGGCAAGAACAAGGCCUUUUAUGAAGACUUCCUUGAUGCUGCCUCACCUCAGAUGGACACUCUUUGGGUUCAGCUGGGGGCUGAGUCUUCAGCAGGUUCCGCGGCUGCUGAUGCUCUUCUCAAUGGCAUGGAGAUCUUUAAGGUCAGCCGGGAAGGAAAUCUUGCCCAUCCAACCGUCAGGAUUGGAGGCAUCAGUGGUGGUGCAAGCAAACCAAAACGGAGCCCCAAGUGGGUGCUAAUUGGUACUGCUUCCGGUCUGAUAAUUUUUAUCGCAAUUGCUGGUGGUCUUUAUUUUGGUUUCAAUCUGCGACGGAAGAAAAAUAGUUCAGCCAGCAAAGCCAAGGACAAUCUCCAUGGUGCUACACAUACGCGUUCUCCCACUCUUCGCACAGCUGGGGCAUUUGGGAGCAACAGGAUGGGCAGGCGGUUCACCAUUGCAGAAAUCAGAACAGCCACCGUGAACUUUGAUGAGUCCUUGGUGAUUGGGGUUGGAGGCUUUGGCAAGGUCUACAAGGGUAUAAUGGAGGAUGGCACUCGGGUGGCAAUUAAGAGGGGGCAUACAGAUUCUCACCAGGGUCAGGGUGUGAAGGAAUUCGAAACUGAGAUCGAGAUGCUCUCAAGGUUGCGGCACCGGCACCUUGUGCCCUUGAUUGGCUAUUGUGAUGAGCAAAACGAGAUGGUCUUAGUUUAUGAGCACAUGGCAAAUGGCACAUUAAGGAGCCAUCUUUAUGGAAGUGACCUUCCUGCUCUUACAUGGAAGCAAAGGCUUGAAAUAUGUAUCGGCGCAGCACGAGGGCUUCACUACCUUCACACCGGGCUUGACAGGGGUAUAAUCCACAGGGAUGUCAAGACUACCAACAUUUUGUUAGACGACAACCUUGUUGCCAAGAUGGCAGAUUUUGGCAUCUCAAAAGAUGGUCCAGCUUUAGAUCAUACUCAUGUUAGUACUGCUGUCAAAGGGAGUUUUGGUUACCUCGAUCCAGAGUACUAUAGGAGACAGCAGUUAACGCCAAGUUCAGAUGUGUACUCUUUUGGUGUCGUGCUGUUUGAAGUGCUGUGUGCUCGACCAGUCAUAAAUCCAACCCUGCCAAGAGACCAAAUAAACCUUGCUGACUGGGCUCUGAACAGGCAAAGGCACAGGUUACUUGAGACCAUAAUCGACCUUCGAUUGGAUGGAAAUUACACACUGGCGUCCGUCAAGAAAUCCAGCAAGAUAGCAGAAAAAUGCCUGGCAGAUGAGGGGGUGAACCGGCCUUCGAUGGGCGAAGUCCUCUGGCACCUAGAGAGUGCUUUGCAGUUGGAACAAGGUCAUCCGCAAAGCACAAAUGCUGAUGGUUGUUCAGACCCUCAACUGAAGCCUUCUGAUGUACCUACCCGUGUGGCGUGCAUCAAAGAAGAUGAGCAAUCCACUCGUCCAGGCUCCCACAAUUCAGAUGGGCAAGUUGUUGAUGUCAAGAUUGAGGUGCCAUGAUACAGAAGGGCUUUCGAAGUUUCAAGCAAAAUGAAUAGGAUGAUGAUCGUGCUGAAGGCUGGAUGCGCUGGAGCUGCGACUGCCCAGAAAAUGGCGAUGGAGAUGAUUUCAGAGCCAUAGAAGCCAUGAUUGAGGUCGCCAUGCGAAUAACAGAUCAACUGAAGAUGAUAGAACUUGAAGGAAACAUCUAGGUGGUGACAGUAUAGUCCUGAGAGUUCCGCUUCCAUCUUCACUGACAGAGAUAUGUAGUUUGUUCGUUUGUGAAUAAUUUCAUAUCGUUCGAGUUUCAGAUAACUUAUCGUCAACUGUGCCAUAAUAAUCCGAAUAUUUUUUUAAUAUAUGUAGAAGAAGAUUAUCCUUUGCAUCUUUUUAGGGCUCUCUCCGGCUAGACUGUUCCAUCUUGGACAGCAUUUGUAAAUUAAAACAAUGUCUUUCUUAGAAUUAUUUCGUGAAAACCUAUCUUUGUUAGUAUUGUAAGCCUUUUUCGUCAUAUCUAGUGUCGUUAAUGGCUUAAGGCUGCAACGUUUAGUUGCAGAAACAAUGCCAUAAAUAUAGUAAAUACUUCUUUUUCUAUUGGGUGCGGAGGACAUGUACUUUCUUGAUGUGCACAAUGCUUUAUGACCAUAUAUAGUUUUGAUAGAGGGCUAUGCCAAAUAGCAGAACCCUGCUCAAACAACUACAGUGUUGUUAUAGCCAGCAAUUUAAAACAUUGAAUAUUUUUUUCCGAAAAGGAGGAUAACCCCGGCCUCUGCAUCAGAACGAUGCAUGCAGCCAUAUAUUAUUAAUAAUGCAAAAUUCAGCAGUCGAACACAAUCGACCCGGAAAUAAAGCGGAAAACGAACCCUGAGGCCGUAUACCUCGCGACAGUAACUCCCCAGAUAGCCACCAACCCUAUGAUACAAGACACAACAGAAACGAAAAAUACACAACUCCUAGGCUACGCCUUCAAGAAGGAAUGUGAGUCCACCACAAGGUUGAACUCCGGAUUCUCAUCCCCAAAGCCAAGCUUCAAUCCACCAUCUUCAGCAAGGACACGACACAGGCGCGCGCCGACAUAGCCCGAUCAGAGAUCUUGUAUUUCCACCGGAGUGCAUAAACUCGUCAUUGAAGCCAUCUGUAUCAUUCGCCCUUAUCCGUCUACCGACACCUCGGUAGCCGGAUACCUCUGGAGGAGACAACGGAAGACAAAGUCGUCCCAUACCGCCUGCCUCCCGCUAUUGUCGCACCACCUUCGACCCAACAACAACAGGCUAAACAUGACACCUCCGCCAGAGCCACCGUGCAUCACCUGCCGGUAGCAGGCAUGACUUGACGUCUCUGUAUAAGACGUUGUGCGUAGCAUCCGCCGGUAGCGCAUCCACCGGUGGCUUCACCUGCCGAAGUCAGGCACCGCCCGACAACUCCGAAAGAGGCACAUGUGUCACCUGCCGAGCCGCAUCGAACUCGAUCUGUUGAUGGAAGGGACGUCCCUACCGCCACCAGCCUCAGAAGGCCGUCACCACCUCGAGAUCCAGACUCCGAGUCGCCUACACGACCCCGGAGUCCGCCACUGUUGAUGAAGAGGGGCCGCCGCCCCGAUUCUGGGUGCUACAGUGAGCACCCACCGUUGCGCCAGCCGCUCGUCGCCCAUACAACGGCAACCGCCGCCCGUGAUACCGCAUCAAGCGCCAUCGACGCCGGAGGAAGCUUCGGCCGCCACGCGCGUCCUGCGACGAGCCCGGGCACGGGAUCCCAAUAUCCGCCACCACCGGCGCCGCCAUAAGGACCCACCUCCUGGCCCGUCAUCCCCGGUGGAGGGGACACCGCCACCACCAUGGACGGAUUUGAGCUAGGCGUCGCCGCCGCCACCGCCAUCGGCCACGCCUAGCCCCACCUCCAUCCUCAGGCCACGCACAUCCGAACUCCACCCGCGCCACCAAGAACCACCGCCGGGUGCCGCCGCACCGCCGUGGAUUGAGGGAGAGGCCGCCCCCACCGGAUCCAGUGCCCUCGUCGCAGAUCUGGGAGAAGGAGGAACAACCCUCCGCCACCGCUGGCCAACGCACGGGCUUAGUCCCGCGCCAACCCCAGGCGGCGACGGAGGGGGGGGGAGAUCGAGAGGGUCGAUGGCGGCUGGGCUGUCACCUCUCGUGUCGCCCGCUAGGGGGGUGACGCGAGAGGGUCGAUAGGAUUGUGAUGUACUGCCUUAAAACGUUGAAUAUGAUACUUGUUGAGUGCUUUGUAAUAUCCAGCAAUUAUAUGCAAUAUAUGGUUUUUUUAAAGGAGGAUUACCCUCAGCCUCUGCAUCUGGGCGAUGCAUGCAACCAUUUUAUUAAUUAUUCACAAAGACCUUACAAAGUAGUACAUCAGUCUGUCCGAGCCACUAUCUUAGCAACAAUUGUCGCUAUUCCUAACCACUUGAUGAAGGGUGCCGAUAGUCCGAGCCUAAUAUCAAACAAACAUUGCACCAAAGCCUAACAUCUAAAGCCGGAGGCCCCAACCGAGCCACAUACUGGGUUUGGGGUACAAACCGGUCCAACGCACUCUCAUGUGUCGUCGCCGCCGUCUUCCACCAAUCUAUCUUCACAACAGAAGCUAACACACUGAGCUUGCCAGGCCUCUCUGCCAUCAACGCCACCAUGACGCCAGACAGCGUCCUCCUGCGCGAGUCCAUCUUCGCGCAUCAGACACCGAAUCUCCACUGCGCCAUGCCGCCGAGAUCCGCCGCCAUCAAUGAGUAAGAUGAAGCACUGCUCCACCAAAGAAGUCGUCCACUGGUCCCUUGAGCCCGUGUACACCUCCAAGAAUGACGCCCCCAAGGGGGAAACGACGCCAGAGAGCCGUCGUCAUCCGAUCUACUGAUCUAGGGUUUCCUCGGAGAUAGUGGAUAGAGGUAUGGAGCUUCUCCACGGCAAUGCCUUCAAGAAGGUAAUGACACAAAACAGUGCCGCCAUCAUUGGCUUGGCAACAAGCCGAGAACGAGGUUUUCACCCGGAUCCGCUCGACGAACCUCCGUCUCGCAUCAUGCGCAUAGACCACCACCGAUCUCCGCAGCCGCGGAGCGAGCAAGCCACUCUGGCCAGAUCAAAUCUGACCGGAGGGCCAACCACGCCCGCAGCAGACCAGCCCACCAAAGCCCUCCAUGUCGCCGUCGAUCCGAGAUGUCGUAGCGCCGCGACUAGAUGCAGCAGCUCCACCACUAGUCAUCCGCCACCGCUCGCUGCCGGGAGCGAGCCACCGCUGCGGAGGCUCGGAUCUAGGGGCGCACUUCCGCUUGCCCGGGUGCCCCGCGCCACCCUCGUGCACGAGAAGGAGAUGCUCCUCCACCACCGCCGUCAGCCGCCCGGGCUUAGCCCGGGGGCUUCCUCCAGCGGCGGCGGAUGGGAGGGGUGGGAUGGGGAUAGCCCGGCGGCUAAGGUUGGGGCCCCUCGGCCGCCCGCGCGGGGGGCGGCGGAGGGGAGGGAUGGGAUGGGAAAUAUGUAUCGUCUUUAUCUUCAUCUUUUCUUGCAGAAUUAAACUCUGUUAAACUCUAUGAUGACUCAAGUGCCAUUGUAGAACUUGAUAACAUUUGUGAGAGAGCUUGGCACUGAAACUUUAAUCACGCUUGCACCAUGCUGCUUAGAACAUUACUAAUUAAUUAUGGGCAUUUACUGAUUUGCGGGUAGUGAUAUUUGCAUCCAUUACAUAUGUCGUGACGGUUAUAAUCCGCACUACAUAUACACAUCGUUUGGUGCAUAGCUUGGUUUGCUGCACGUAGGCUUCAGGAAGCCAAGGCACUAGUAUUGUAGACAAGAAGAGCACCGCCCAGCAGAAUUCCAGCAAGAGCCCAGAGAAACAGCCCUGUCUUUCCUGUAUAGCAUAAAUCAAGAUAGUAAAAAAGGUCAAAAUUAAUGAAUUUAAGAUACAGUAAACAUUUUAUGAUGCGCUUAAAAGAAACGCCAGUCUACGCGUACCUCCAACAUAAACGUCACCGCUUGGAGACCAUUCUUC
This is an RNA transcript of Triticum aestivum (bread wheat), 6983 nucleotides long. It is a transcript of the gene named probable receptor-like protein kinase At1g30570, with no coding region annotated. Lineage: Eukaryota; Viridiplantae; Streptophyta; Magnoliopsida; Poales; Poaceae. The transcript is spliced from 4 exons. The record is from RefSeq and is a predicted model, not a curated record.